UACGUAGGGGGCAAGCGUUAUCCGGAUUCAUUGGGCGUAAAGCGCGCGUAGGCGGCCCGUUAAGUCAGAUGUGAAAACCGGAGGCUUAACCUCCGGCCUGCAUCUGAAACUGGCGGGCUUGAGUCUGGUAGAGGAAAGUGGAAUUCCCAGUGUAGCGGUGAAAUGCGCAGAUAUUGGGAGGAACACCAGUGGCGAAGGCGGCUUUCUGGGCCACGACUGACGCUGAGGCGCGAAAGCUAGGGGAGCGAACAGG
RNAcentral lists this ribosomal RNA (253 nucleotides) under uncultured Olsenella sp. RNAcentral's name for it is "partial 16S ribosomal RNA". It matches the Rfam family "Bacterial small subunit ribosomal RNA", at positions 524 to 776 of the family's 1533-position model. The record is from RNAcentral. Lineage: Bacteria; Bacillati; Actinomycetota; Coriobacteriia; Coriobacteriales; Atopobiaceae.